UACGGGGGGGGCAAGCGUUGUUCGGAAUUACUGGGCGUAAAGGGCUCGUAGGCGGCCGUCUAAGUCAGACGUGAAAUCCCUCGGCUUAACCGGGGAACGGCGUCUGAGACUGGAGGGCUUGAGUUCGGGAGAGGGAUGCGGAAUUCCAGGUGUAGCGGUGAAAUGCGUAGAUAUCUGGAGGAACACCGGUGGCGAAGGCGGCAUCCUGGACCGAGACUGACGCUGAGGAGCGAAAGCCAGGGGAGCAAACGGG
RNAcentral lists this ribosomal RNA (253 nucleotides) under uncultured Acidobacteriota bacterium. RNAcentral's name for it is "uncultured Acidobacteria bacterium partial 16S ribosomal RNA". It matches the Rfam family "Bacterial small subunit ribosomal RNA", at positions 524 to 776 of the family's 1533-position model. Lineage: Bacteria; Pseudomonadati; Acidobacteriota. The record is from RNAcentral.